RNAcentral lists this ribosomal RNA (64 nucleotides) under Maesa japonica. RNAcentral's name for it is "partial 28S ribosomal RNA". Lineage: Eukaryota; Viridiplantae; Streptophyta; Magnoliopsida; Ericales; Primulaceae. The record is from RNAcentral.
CUGCAGCUCCGUAUAAUACGUGUGCCUCGACUGUGACCUACUAGAUUCAGGCGAACGUCCCAGC